Molecule: ribosomal RNA, 120 nt
Filed under: uncultured bacterium
Lineage: Bacteria
Description: partial 16S ribosomal RNA
Rfam family: Bacterial small subunit ribosomal RNA
Source: RNAcentral
UACGUUCCCGGGCCUUGUACACACCGCCCGUCACACCACGAAAGUUGGUAACACCCGAAGCCGGUGGCCUAACCCCUUGGGGAAGGGAGCCGUCGAAGGUGGGAUCAGCGAGUUGGGGUG